UACGUAGGGGGCAAGCGUUGUCCGGAUUUAUUGGGCGUAAAGAGCGUGUAGGCGGCCAAGCAGGUCCGCUGUGAAAACUCGAGGCUCAACCUCGAGACGUCGGUGGAAACCGUUUGGCUAGAGUCCGGAAGAGGAGAGUGGAAUUCCCGGUGUAGCGGUGAAAUGCGCAGAUAUCGGGAAGAACACCCGUGGCGAAGGCGGCUCUCUGGGACGGUACUGACGCUGAGACGCGAAAGCGUGGGGAGCAAACGGG
This 253-nucleotide ribosomal RNA is filed under the name uncultured bacterium. RNAcentral's name for it is "partial 16S ribosomal RNA". It matches the Rfam family "Bacterial small subunit ribosomal RNA", at positions 524 to 776 of the family's 1533-position model. The record is from RNAcentral.